CAACCCGUCAAGCUCUGCUUGGUAGUUGGGCCCCGCCCGCUCGCGGCCGGCCCUAAAGACAGUGGCGGCGGCGUCUGGCUCCAAGCGUAGUACAGCUCUCGCUCUGGGGCUAGGCGGUAACGCCUGCCAGAACCCCCUUCUAUGG
This 145-nucleotide unclassified non-coding RNA is filed under the name uncultured Oidiodendron. RNAcentral describes it as "sequence contains ITS2". Lineage: Eukaryota; Fungi; Ascomycota; Leotiomycetes; Myxotrichaceae. The record is from RNAcentral.